Molecule: ribosomal RNA, 253 nt
Filed under: uncultured bacterium
Lineage: Bacteria
Description: partial 16S ribosomal RNA
Rfam family: Bacterial small subunit ribosomal RNA
Source: RNAcentral
UACGUAGGGGGCAAGCGUUGUCCGGAUUCAUUGGGCGUAAAGAGCGUGUAGGCGGCCAGGUAGGUCGGUUGUGAAAACUGGAGGCUCAACCUUCAGAGGUCGACCGAAACCAUCUGGCUAGAGUCCGGGAGAGGAGAGUGGAACUGCGAGUGUAGAGGUUAAAUUCGUAGAUAUUCGCAAGAACACCAGUGGCGAAGGCGGCUCACUGGCCCGGUACUGACGCUGAGGUGCGAAAGCGUGGGGAGCAAACAGG